CGUCUAUAUACGUAUAGCAUAUCAAUAAGCGGAGGAAAAGAAACUAACAAGGAUUCCCUUAGUAACGGCGAGUGAAGCGGGAAGAGCUCAAACUUGAAAUCUUCAAGGUUCUACCUUGACGAAUUGUAGUUUAAAGAAGUGUUUUCUGUUAGAGGAGUAGCAAAAGUUCCUUGGAAUGGGACAUCAUAGAGGGUGAGAAUCCCGUAUUUGGUUAUUCUUUCUAGCUUUGUGAUACGCUUUCAAAGAGUCGGAUUGUUUGGGAAUGCAGUCCAAAAUGGGUGGUAAAUUUCAUCUAAAGCUAAAUAUUGGCGAGAGACCGAUAGCGAACAAGUACCGUGAGGGAAAGAUGAAAAGAACUUUGAAAAGAGAGUUAAACAGUACGUGAAAUUGUCAAAAGGGAAGCGUUUGACACCAGUGUUGUUUUUCCGAAAAUCAAUUAAGAACGUGCUUGAUUUUGUGUUGUAUUGACCUUAUCAGCUUUCUUCACUCUUUUUCGAGUCUUUCUUAAUGCACUUUUCGGUUAACAAGUCAACAUCAAUUUCUUUUGUUGUAAAAGGGUAUUUGGAAGGUGGCUUUCUUUUCGGAGAAAGUGUUUAUAGCCUUAUACCUCUACAAUCGGAGAGAUUGAGGUCUGCAGCGUAGAUCCUUCGGGGCUAGAUACACUUGUGCUAAGUUAUAGCUUUUCAUAGACAACUUGUUGACUAUGUUUAGUCAUGUAGCUUACCCGCUUGUGCUAUUUUACCUACGCUUAGGAUGUUGAGUCAUCACACAUCUCU
This 776-nucleotide ribosomal RNA is filed under the name uncultured Neocallimastigales. RNAcentral describes it as "partial large subunit ribosomal RNA". It matches the Rfam family "Eukaryotic large subunit ribosomal RNA", at positions 26 to 618 of the family's 3401-position model. Lineage: Eukaryota; Fungi; Neocallimastigomycota; Neocallimastigomycetes; Neocallimastigales. The record is from RNAcentral.